This 279-nucleotide ribosomal RNA is filed under the name uncultured bacterium. RNAcentral's name for it is "partial 16S ribosomal RNA". It matches the Rfam family "Bacterial small subunit ribosomal RNA", at positions 506 to 784 of the family's 1533-position model. The record is from RNAcentral.
UGCCAGCAGCCGCGGUAAGACGGAGGGUGCAAACGUUGCUCGGAAUUACUGGGCAUAAAGCGCACGUAGGCGGCCCGUUAAGUCACGCGUGAAAGCCCCCGGCUCAACCGGGGAACUGCGCGUGAUACUGACGGGCUCGAGAACGGUAGGGGUGAGUGGAACUCCAGGUGGAGCGGUGAAAUGCGUAGAUAUCUGGAGGAACACCAGUGGCGAAAGCGGCUCACUGGACCGUUACUGACGCUGAGGUGCGAAAGCCAGGGGAGCGAACGGGAUUAGAUA